This 238-nucleotide unclassified non-coding RNA is filed under the name rhizosphere metagenome. RNAcentral's name for it is "partial ribosomal RNA internal transcribed spacer region". The record is from RNAcentral.
GUAGGUGAACCUGCGGAAGGAUCAUUAACACGUAUCCAACGUUAUACCCCCUGUGAACUUUCAUACAUUUGCACCUUAGCUUCUCUUUUUGAGAAGGCCCCACGGAUUCGCCGGAACAUCACGCACGGCGACUAGGUGCUCGGGUCCUACCCCCUAUUUUAACCCCUACAGUUUCGUAACUGGGUCGCGUUAAUACGCAGACCUUGAACAACUGUUAACAAUGGAUAUCUUGGUCCUC